GUGUAUAUAAUUUUAUAUGGCGGCUUUUUGUUCAGGUUAUUGUUUUCUUUUUUUUUUAAUUGUUUAACUUGAUUAUAAACAUCUGACAGCGGUAUACUACUUUUUUGUGUUUGUUCACCCCUUAUGUUAUUGAUUUUAUAUUUACAUUGUAUCAUAGAUCAAAUUUAUUCGUUCAGUUUAUUUUCACUUGUGUUAAUAUGUCUCUUGAUUGAGUUAAGCCAUUGCAAGUAAUAUUUAUAGUGUUUCUUUCUAUGUUGUGAUGUUACACAAUUGUUUGAGAUAAUGAUAAAGGUCGGUACCUUAAAACCUGCUUCAUUUGUUUGCAGCUGUCAUAAAUUAGGAAUCUGAUGUUCAGUAGUUGUCGUUUGUUGAUGUGGUUCAUAAGUGUUUCUAGUUUCUCGUUUUAUAUAUAGAUUAUACCGUUGGUUUUCCCCUUGAAUUGUUUUACACAUGUCAUCGUAAUUUUUUGGGUCCUUUAUAGCUUGCUGUUCGGUGUGAGCCAAGGCAUCGUCUUGAAGACCGUACUUUGACCUAUAAUGGUGAACUUUUACAAAUUGUGACUACGAUGGAGAGUUGUCUUAUUGAUACUCAUACCAAAUCUUCUUUUAUC
This 610-nucleotide long non-coding RNA is filed under the name Mytilus galloprovincialis (Mediterranean mussel). The record is from RNAcentral. Lineage: Eukaryota; Metazoa; Mollusca; Bivalvia; Mytilida; Mytilidae.